AAACAUUCAUAAGAACUUCGGCUUCACCAUCAAAUCUUUGACAAUCAAGAAGCUUGGUUAGCGGAUUUGUAGUCAAAUAUGACUAGAUGCUUUGUGUAUCAUUGAGUAUAAGAUCU
This 116-nucleotide small RNA is filed under the name Arabidopsis thaliana (thale cress). Its description in RNAcentral is "ATSL040150". Lineage: Eukaryota; Viridiplantae; Streptophyta; Magnoliopsida; Brassicales; Brassicaceae. The record is from RNAcentral.